Long non-coding RNA from Etheostoma cragini (Arkansas darter), 110 nucleotides. RefSeq lists it as uncharacterized. Lineage: Eukaryota; Metazoa; Chordata; Actinopteri; Perciformes; Percidae. The record is from RefSeq and is a predicted model, not a curated record. The transcript is spliced from 3 exons.
UUAAAAACACUGUCUCUGGCUGACUUUCAAAAGUGUUGGAUAAACACUGGAUGGCCGCAUACACAUCACGCUAACAGGCUUAGGCAAUAAAGUAAUUGUGUUCUUGUAUU